UACGGGGGGGGCAAGCGUUGUUCGGAAUUACUGGGCGUAAAGGGCUCGUAGGCGGCCAACUAAGUCAGACGUGAAAUCCCCGGGCUCAACCUGGGAACUGCAUUUGUGACUGCACAGCUUGAGUGCGGCAGAGGGGGAUGGAAUUCCGCGUGUAGCAGUGAAAUGCGUAGAUAUGCGGAGGAACACCGAUGGCGAAGGCAAUCCCCUGGGCCUGCACUGACGCUCAUGCACGAAAGCGUGGGGAGCAAACAGG
RNAcentral lists this ribosomal RNA (253 nucleotides) under uncultured bacterium. RNAcentral's name for it is "partial 16S ribosomal RNA". It matches the Rfam family "Bacterial small subunit ribosomal RNA", at positions 524 to 776 of the family's 1533-position model. The record is from RNAcentral.